CCUACGGGAGGCAGCAGUGAGGAAUAUUGGUCAAUGGACGAGAGUCUGAACCAGCCAAGUAGCGUGAAGGAUGACUGCCCUAUGGGUUGUAAACUUCUUUUAUAUGGGAAUAAAACGUUCCACGUGUGGGAUUUUGUAUGUACCAUAUGAAUAAGGAUAGGCUACUCCGUUCCAGCAGCCGCGGUAAUACGGAGGGUCCGAGCGUUAGCCGGAUUUAUUGGGCUUAAAGGGAGCGUAGGUGGGUUGUUAAGUCAGUUGUGAAAGUUUGCGGCUCAACCAUAAAAUUGCAGUUGAAACUGGCAGUCUAGAGUACAGUAGAGGUGGGCGGAAUUCGUGGUGUAGCGGUGAAAUGCGUAGAUAUCACGAAGAACUCCGAUUGCGAAGGCAGCUUACUAAACUGCCACUGACAUUGAUGCUCGAAAGUGUGGGUAUCAAACAGGAUUAGAUACCCCAGUAGUC
RNAcentral lists this ribosomal RNA (459 nucleotides) under uncultured bacterium. RNAcentral's name for it is "partial 16S ribosomal RNA". It matches the Rfam family "Bacterial small subunit ribosomal RNA", at positions 338 to 795 of the family's 1533-position model. The record is from RNAcentral.